This 457-nucleotide ribosomal RNA is filed under the name uncultured soil bacterium. RNAcentral describes it as "bacterial SSU rRNA". It matches the Rfam family "Bacterial small subunit ribosomal RNA", at positions 26 to 517 of the family's 1533-position model. The record is from RNAcentral.
AGAACGAACGCUGGCGGCAGGCUUAACACAUGCAAGUCGAACGGUUGUAGCAAUACAGCAGUGGCAGACGGGUGAGUAACACGUGGGAACCUUCCUAGGGGUACGGAACAACUCAGGGAAACUUGAGCUAAUACCGUAUACGUCCGUGAGGAGAAAGAUUUAUCGCCCCUAGACGGGCCCGCGUAGGAUUAGGUAGUUGGUGAGGUAACGGCUCACCAAGCCUACGAUCCUUAGCUGAUCUGAGAGGAUGAUCAGCCACACUGGGACUGAGACACGGCCCAGACUCCUACGGGAGGCAGCAGUGGGGAAUCUUGGACAAUGGGCGCAAGCCUGAUCCAGCCAUGCCGCGUGAGUGAAGAAGGCCUUCGGUUGUAAAGCUCUUUUUACCGAGGGAACGAGUAAGUGACGGUACCUUGGAGAAUAAGCCCCGGCGAAACGUUCGUGACCAGCCAAGCCG